GAUUAAUUAAUUAUUAUAUAUUUUUAUUUUAAUAAAAAUAAUUUUAUUAAUAAGUUUUUUUAGUAAAGAUUAUAGAAAAAAUUUUUUUAAUUAUAGUUAAUUAGUAUUGUAUAAGAAAUUUGAAAUAUAUAUUAAUUUUUUAUAAGUAAAAUUAAUUUUUUGUACCUUGUGUAUCAGGGUUUAUUAAAAAAAUAUAAUAUAUUUUUAUUUUCCCGAUUUUAAGAGAGAUAAUAAGUAAUAUUUUUUAUUGUUUAAAAAAUAUUUAUAAUUAUUUAUUAGUAAUGAAAAGUUAUUCGGUCUUAAAGAUAUCUGGUUUAUUCAGAAAUGAAUUCAAUUCAGUUAAUUUAAUUUUUUUAAUUAAUUUGUUUUAAUUAAAAGAAAUAAUUAAUAAUAGUUAAAGGGAUUAGCUUUUAAUUAAAUUUCUAUAAUAAUAUAAUUUUGUUAAAAAUUUAUAGGUUUAGAAAUAUUCUUUAUUUAUAAUUUGUUAUAAUUAAUUUUUGCUUAUUUAUUAUUUUAUAUAUAUUUAGUUUUUUAUGAAUAAAUUUUAUUUAAUUAAAUUUUAUUAGAUAUAAUGAUAAAAUUAGUAUAUUUUUAAAUGUUUUAAUAAUUACUUUUAAAAGAUUAUAUAAAGGAAUUCGGCAAAAACUUUAUUCGCCUGUUUAACAAAAACAUGUCCUUUAGAUUAUAUAAUUUAAGGUCUAACCUGCCCACUGAAAUUUUUAAAUGGCCGCAGUAUUUUGACUGUGCAAAGGUAGCAUAAUCAUUAGUUUUUUAAUUAAAAGCUUGUAUGAAUGGUUGGACGAAAUAAAAUCUGUCUCUAUAUAAUAAAUAGAAUUUAAUUUUUAAGUUAAAAAGCUUAAAUAAAAAUAAAAGACGAGAAGACCCUAUAGAUCUUUAUAAUAAAUUUUUUAGUAUUAUUUAUGAUUUAUUUAUUUAUUAAAAUUUUUAUUAUUUUAUUGGGGUAAUAGGAAGAUUAAUAUAAUUCUUUUUAAUUUUUUACAAAAAUUAUUGUUUAUUUGAUCCUUGUUAUAGAUUAUAAGAUUAAGUUACCUUAGGGAUAACAGCGUAAUUUUUUUAGAGAGUUCAUAUCGAUAAAAAAGUUUGCGACCUCGAUGUUGGAUUAAAAAUUAUUUUGGGUGUAGAAGUUCAAAUUUUUGGUCUGUUCGACCAUUAAAUUUUUACAUGAUCUGAGUUCAGACCGGCGUAAGCCAGGUCGGUUUCUAUCUUUAUUUAAUUAAUAUAUUUUAGUACGAAAGGACCAAAUAUAAAAUAUAUAAAUAUUUUUGUUUUGAUUUAUAUU
Molecule: ribosomal RNA, 1300 nt
Filed under: Mystonectes coelamboides
Lineage: Eukaryota; Metazoa; Arthropoda; Insecta; Coleoptera; Dytiscidae
Description: 16S ribosomal RNA
Rfam family: Archaeal large subunit ribosomal RNA (bases 1057-1215)
Source: RNAcentral